GGAGCAAUAUUCGCCUCUUUUUUGCAGAUAAUACAUAAUAAUAUCAAUGUGCUGCGAAAUUAGUAUAAACAUAUACAAUAAGCUACAGUGUAACCACACUUAUCUAUAAAACAACUACAGAUUAAAUACAAUUUGAAUUUAUUAAAAACUCUAACAUAUAAGUGCACAUUGGCUACACUAUAACUACGAAAAUAUAACAGUUAGUCCAAGUAACUCACAAAAUAUAAUUUAAUUGUAGUUAGUAUGGACUAUAGUGAACAAGUACUAUAUCUAUUAUUGACCUAUCAAACUACAAAACAACUACAGAUUAACUAGAAUUAUGCACUGUAUACAUUAAUUCACUAUACAGAGGAACGAACGAAACAUAGCACCUAACUUAAGGUCCCAAUAAUCAGCAACUUCAACCUACCGUUAAUAUUAUUAGCCACAAUCACAAGCUCUACAAUAUUACUACAAGGUAACUACAGUUGUGGUACACAGAGAUUCCAAGUCAGUCGAAAGUACCAAAAUUCCAGUUUGUACAUACAAUCAUCUUCACAUAUGAUACCUAAGUUUCAUAUAACGCAAAAUUUCACAGCUAAGAACUAAAUAUAGUAACAUAUAUAUGUUAUCCACAAUAUUACUAUAAUUACACAUCAUAACUGAAGAAUAAACUACAAUUACAUUACACAGCUGAAGACAAAAUAGAUAUUGUGAAUGAUUAUGUUUUUUAUACUUAUUGUGUUAUUGAUGACUUGUUCGGGGUGAGCAAGGGCAUAAAAUUAGUCAUUCUUAUCAAUCUUUUUGUCACGACCCUAAUUCACCAAUCGUGAACACGUCACGACGACACCUAGUCACGAUGACUAGGUAAGCUUAACAGUGCGGAAGUAAUAUAUAAUAUGGAAAUAUCAAUUAAAAUUAAAACAACUUAAGGAAAUGUAUAUAUCUUGCCGCUUGGCAUAUACACUUCAACACUUCAAAUUUAGAAAUAGAAAAUCCCAAAACCCGAAAUCUCACGGAAAUCACAGGCUAAUAGAAACGUAAUACACUGCUCUAACUCCAGAAUAUCUACACAAUCAAGGAAAGAUCAAAUACUACAGCUGGAAUAUGAUAGAGACUUCUGAUAUGCGGACGUAGUGACUAAGCAGCACUAUAAUUCUACAUUGUUCAAAUUAUAGCCAACAAACUAGCACGAGAAAAGUCUCAAAUUUGAUGCCCAUAUGUUCUUCAAUAAAGCCCAACUCAAAGAUCUCUAAUAAAGAUUAAAAUUAUAAGAAAUGUACUUUAAAGUCUUAUUUCCACAUCAACAACAACAACCCAGUAUAAUCCUAUUUAGUGGGAUCUGGGGAGGGUAGUGUGUACGCAUACCUUACCCCUACCCUGGGGUAGAGAGGUUGUUUCCAAAUAGACCUCCGGCAUUCUUCCCUCCAAGAACUUCCCACCUUACUCUUGGGGAGACUCAAACUCACAACCUCUCGGUUGUAAGUGGGGUUGCUUACCAUCAGAGCAAGCCCUUGUCCACAUCAGUUUAUCAAUUUACCAAGAAACUCUCAAAAUCACCCAAAAGCUAAAAUCUAAAGAACGUAUAGUCAAUUAAUCAUCUCAAUUUCAAGUUAUUUUUACCCACUUAAAUGGAACAUUGUUUCUACUAAAUAUGAAUCAAGCAUCAGGCCCAGCUCAGGCAAUUACAACAUAGUCUUUAGAAUUCUAAAUGCGAACAGAUGCCAUCCAAAUUACAAACACACAUGCAAAACAAUCUUCAGUGUCUAAGAUCAACAAGUAUAGGCAGCAACCCCUGCCGUAACAGUCACAGGAUCAAACGAAUUCACUUACAUUCAUAUUCAUAAACAAAGCAAAUUCAAAAUAAAACGGGGCUUUAACACCUACAAACAAACUGGUUUAGCCUUAGAGUUUUUAGACUCAUUUUAAUUCUCUGAACUCUUAUCAAUCAAACCAGCACCAAUAUCAGUAAAAUAAAAAAUAAAAAUGUGACCUGAAUAAACACGAACCUGUAUUAACUUUUGCUUUAAUAAACCUAUGAGCGAAGUUUGGCGACAAAAAUCGAAAUAUGCAGCAACUAAAUUUGAAAAGAACCACGAACGAAACUCAAACGACACCUCGAUUCAGCUUUCAAACCUGGUAUAAUCUCCAUGUUUAAGAAACUAAAAUAUGAGGAGAAAGAGAACUAAUUUUUUUCUGGAACUUAAACUAAGACAAAAAAUGGAAACUCCCACUGCCUCUCGAUAUUCCUCUACAAGUUUUGUCCUUCAGAAAAUCAUAUUGAUUUUUGUUUUUGUAUCAAUCAACUUGAACAAAAAUAGAUAUCAUAAAUUCCUCUCCUUAGAGCUCUAGAAAUUUUCUUUCAAAAUUUUCCUUUUUAGAAAUCUCAGACCUCAAAACCUCCUCCGAAUUUUGUUCUUCUCUUUUACUUCCAAAAUCCUCUAGUUAUCAGGCAAACAUCUGAUCAAUGAAGGGUUUGGAUCAAUUAAAACCAAUCACACGCUCCCCAUUCAUCCAGCAUAUGCCGUCUAGAGGCGUACAACACGUGAGAAGAGAGGUGAGGGUGAGAGAAUCUAUCAGAAACCAUUAGCACCUUUAUGAAGUGGUGGGAUGGGGGUAUGUGCAAGUGAACUCGCCCGAGUUUCAGGCGAGUUGGGACUGAUUCGGACGAAGGAGACGGGGGAACAGUAACUGGGCGUCGUUUUUUGGUCUCUAGGUUUAGGGUUUCUUU
Molecule: long non-coding RNA, 2710 nt
Filed under: Nicotiana benthamiana
Lineage: Eukaryota; Viridiplantae; Streptophyta; Magnoliopsida; Solanales; Solanaceae
Description: long non-coding RNA (NBEN_LNC032106)
Source: RNAcentral